UACGGAGGGUGCAAGCGUUAUCCGGAUUCACUGGGUUUAAAGGGUGCGUAGGCGGGCAGGUAAGUCAGUGGUGAAAUCCUGGAGCUUAACUCCAGAACUGCCAUUGAUACUAUCUGUCUUGAAUAUUGUGGAGGUAAGCGGAAUAUGUCAUGUAGCGGUGAAAUGCUUAGAUAUGACAUAGAACACCUAUUGCGAAGGCAGCUUACUACGCAUAUAUUGACGCUGAGGCACGAAAGCGUGGGGAUCAAAC
This 250-nucleotide ribosomal RNA is filed under the name uncultured bacterium. Its description in RNAcentral is "partial 16S ribosomal RNA". It matches the Rfam family "Bacterial small subunit ribosomal RNA", at positions 524 to 773 of the family's 1533-position model. The record is from RNAcentral.